Long non-coding RNA from Scomber japonicus (chub mackerel), 748 nucleotides. RefSeq lists it as uncharacterized. The record is from RefSeq and is a predicted model, not a curated record. The transcript is spliced from 4 exons. Lineage: Eukaryota; Metazoa; Chordata; Actinopteri; Scombriformes; Scombridae.
ACUCACACACACACACACACACACACACACACACACACACAGUGCUGCUGACACUUGGUUGAUUCACAGACACCGGACCGGGAAGCUUAAGAGAGUAGAGAGAAGAUGUACAUCAUUGCCCUGGUAUUGGUCAUCUGUCUGGGCUUAGUGGGAAUGCUGUACGGAUACUAUAAAAAUAAUGAACGGCGCAUCCACCGCACUAUCAUGAUUGGCCAGUGUUACUUGAUAUGUCUGUUAAUUGUGGUAGUGGUGUUCCUCAUUUUAAAGCUGGAAGAUCAGCAAGUGAAAGUGAAUGAGAGAUGAAGAAGAGAUGAAAGCAUCGCGGGUUUGGAUGUCAAAGUGAACCAAAUUGAUGGAUGAUAUUUGAUUAAAAAGGAAGAAGUGUUACAGUAAUAGGAUACAACAGGAAAAAUUGCAUUUAAAUUGUAUAAUUGAGUUCAUUAUUAAUAAGAAAAACAUUGUUACACAUGAAUCAAACUGUCAUACCUAUAUCAGUGUGGAAGGGCCUUAAGGGACUCUACAUAAAGUCAAGAUGCAGUUAAAUGGAGAACAAAAAACAAACAACUAAACAAAAACAACAAGAAGCAAUUUGGCUAUUCAUGCAUAUGUUUUUGCCUAUUUUUCUUAAUCUGCAGUGAACAAGAAUGAACUCCUUUAUUUGUCAGUAAUCAUAUAUGUCAUAACUGCCAAAAAUGAUCCUGUGACUGAACUUCUGUAUCUUUAUAGUCCUCAAUAAAAUUUAAAUAUU